Molecule: long non-coding RNA, 1212 nt
Filed under: Fukomys damarensis (Damara mole-rat)
Lineage: Eukaryota; Metazoa; Chordata; Mammalia; Rodentia; Bathyergidae
Description: lncRNA (ENSFDAG00000030294.1)
Source: RNAcentral
AAAGAAUCAGAAUCAGAGGAAAAAAUGCUAUGUCUGCCCAUGCCCCUCUGGAGGAAUGGGAAUAGAAUAGCAUCUUUUAUUUACCUUUCCAGUUUCUUUAAGAUGCCAGGGGAAAAAUGAGAACCAAGACCUGUCAUGUAAAGUGGGAAUCUUCAACUUUCUCUCCUCAGAACUGCUUCCUACAAGCUAGAGUUGCACAAAACAUAAUGCAAUGACCACUCCACCUCCUUUCAGGACCUAGGGAUUUUUCAGAGAAAGCUUCUGCCUACUAAGCUGAUCAAGACUGUUGAUGCUGGGAUACUGAAAAAGGAGAAAAUCUACAAGGCCAAGGAAAGAAAGCCAGAGCAACACCACCUUCAACUGGCAGAAUAGGGGACAGUCCCUGGGUAGAGCUGGCACAACAGCAGUUGUCAGAGCUCAAGCCAUCUAACUUGUUUCCUCCAAGAGGGCAGCAUCUCCACCUGGGAAUCCAGGUAGCAGGAGGCUGUGAGAGUUUGGACACCACUGAAGGUGGCCAAGCUGGAAAGUAAAUGAGCCCUAACUCUAGGCCUCUCUGAAGGAGGGGGACUGCUAGGUGGAGGCUCCAUAGGAUCACCCCCAAAAUGUAGUCCAGAUGUGGAGUGAAGAGUCCAAGCCAGAGCAGUAGCAGUGGUUAAGAGAAAAUGGCCAUGAAAAACCAUCCAGGAAUAGCCACACACAGAACUCCAUUUCUGUCUCCUCCUCCAUUUAACCAGAGAUCAAGGGUGGGACAGUGUAAGGAGUAAGGAAAAGCCUGGCCAAAAACUCACCUGUGCUAGAAACAGACUAGAGUUUUCAAGUGGAGGAAAGUAAAUCUUAGUCCUUGAAAGUGACCAGGAAGCUAUAAAAUCUCACUACAGAGUCACUAGACUCUUCCCAGAUGUCUAAGACUGCAGCGCUGGUGCUCUUCUCACUGCUCAGGGGAUGCUGGCCAGGCCACAGCUCCAGUGGUGGACAAGAAAGCAGCAGGGCUGCAGCAGCCACUGAUACUCUAGCAGCAGACAGGCCCAGAGCAAAGAGGACUCCAGGACCACUCGGUCCUGGCCAGUGGAUGAGACACUGUAAUUCCUGUGAACUAACGAACUCUGUAACCUUUGAUAACAGUGCUUGCUAUGAAGCCGUUUUGCUGUUUGCUGAAGGAAUAAAGACAUGCAGCUCUUGAGUUCUGGAGCGGCAGCUCCAACUCUCCUGCCC